AGAGCGAACGCUGGCGGCAGGCCUAAAACAUGCAAGUCGAGCGCCGUAGCAAUACGGAGCGGCGGACGGGUGAGUAACACGUGGGAACGUACCCUUUGGUUCGGAACAACACAGGGAAACUUGUGCCAAUACCGGAUAAGCCCUUACGGGGAAAGAUUUAUCGCCAGAGGAUCGGCCCGCGUCUGAUUAGCUAGUUGGUGGGUAACGGCCCACCAAGGCUACGAUCAGUAGCUGGUCUGAGAGGAUGAUCAGCCACACUGGGACUGAGACACGGCCCAGACUCCUACGGGAGGCAGCAGUUAGGAAUCUUGGACAAUGGGCGCAAGCCUGAUCCAGCCAUGCCGCGUGAGUGAUGAAGGCCUUAGGGUUGUAAAGCUCUUUCAGCGGGAAGAUAAUGACGGUACCCGCAGAAGAAGCCCCGGCUAACUUCGUAGCCAGCAGCCGC
RNAcentral lists this ribosomal RNA (445 nucleotides) under uncultured bacterium. RNAcentral's name for it is "SSU rRNA". It matches the Rfam family "Bacterial small subunit ribosomal RNA", at positions 26 to 518 of the family's 1533-position model. The record is from RNAcentral.